GAGGAACGUUUUAUUUAUUAUUUAUUUAUUAGUGGCCAUCCAUCCUUUUCGGAGGACAAAAAUAAACAUUGUCGUCACAUGUACUGUACAUUCUACACAUGUUACAUAAAUGGCUUUUUAUUUUAUUUUUUACAGUAGUUACAUAGCAAGAAUACAGUAAUUGAAUAUUUGGAUAUACAUUGCAUCUACUGUAGAUACAGUGGCUUGCAAAAGUAUUCACCCCUCUUGGCAUUUUUCCUAUUUUGUUGCCUUACAACCUGGAAUUAAAAUGGAUUUUUGGGGGGUUUGUAUCAUUUGAUUUACACAACAUGCUUACCACUUUGAAGAUGCAAAAUAAUUUUGGGGGUGAAACAAGAAGGCAAAAAAAAAUGAAAACUUGAGCGUGCUUGAGUGUUGUUUUAGCAGUGUGCUUAGAGUCAUUGUCCUGCUGGAAGGUGAACCUCCGACCUCGCUUGGUUCAUGAGUUUUGGUGGGCGGCCCUCUCUUGGCAGGUUUGUUGUGGUGCCAUAUUCUUUCCAUUUUUUAAUAAUGGAUUUAAAUGGUGCUCCAUGGGAUGUUCAAAGUUUCGGAUAUUAUUUUAUAACCAACCCCUGAUCUGUACAUCUCCACAACUUUGUCCCUAACCUGUUUGGAGAGCUCCUUGGUCUUCAUGGUGCCACUUGCUUGGUGUUGACCCUUGUUUAGUGGUGUUGCAGACUCUGGGGCCUUUCAGGACAGGUGUAUAUCAACUGAGAUCAUGUGACACUUAGGUUGCCCACAUGUGGACCUUAUUUAACUAAUUAUGUGACUUCUGAAGAUAACUGGUUGCACUAUAUCUUAUUUAGGGGCUUCAUAGCAAACAUAUGCACGCACCACUUUUCUGUUUUCAUUUAUUUAUUUAUUUUCACUUCACCAAUUUGGACUAUUUUGUAUGUCCAUUGCAUGAAAUCCAAUUAAAAAUCUAUUUAAAUUACAGGUGGUAAUGCAACAUAAUAGGAAAAAUGCAAAGGGGGUGAAUACUUUUGCAAGGCACUGUAGAUGGUAUUUAUACAUUAUAAAAUCAUGUUUUCAGUCACAUGACAAAUGUAUUAUAUGCUGUAUUAUAGAUAUUUUCAUCUGACCUAGAUAGCUUGUGUGUAUGCAUUGAUAUGUAGUCUAUCUGUGCCUUUUUUAUGUAUGUAGUUCCGUCCUUGAGCUGUUCAUGUCUAUUAAUGUUCUGUAUUAUGUCAUGGUUCAUGUUUUGUGUGGACCCCAGGAAGAGUAGCUGCUGCUUUUGCAAUAGCUAGUGGGGAUGCUAAUAAAAUGCUAAAUAACAAAUCUAGAUGUGGUCAUUGCUAUUGAUAGUCUCUCUAUUAUCUUGAUAUAAUAGCUAUUACACAGCAUGUCCCUCUGAAAAUCAGUCUGACGAUUCCAUAAACUGAAUUGGAUAGAGUACAUGAGUAUUAUAGUCUUGGAUUCUUCUCCAUACAUCAUCUUCUCCUCCUAGGUGGAGCUGUGAUGCUGCUGGUGUAGUAUUGUAUUCAUCUCCAUACCUCAUCUCCUCCUCCUCCUACGUAGGUGGCGCUGUGAUGCUGCUGGUGUAUCAAUACGUAUCUGGAUGGUUAAAUAAGAACUGGUGACGAGGAGAAGCCCACCAACCUGCCUUAAGGUGCCCACCAGUCUGCCUGAUGAAGCCCACCAGUCUGCCUUAAGGUGCUCACCAGUCUGCCUGAUGAAGCCCACCAACCUGCCUUAAGGUGCCCACCAGUCUGCCUGAUGAAG
This is a long non-coding RNA of Oncorhynchus tshawytscha (Chinook salmon), 1740 nucleotides long. The record is from Ensembl. NCBI's taxonomy places the organism in Eukaryota, Metazoa, Chordata, Actinopteri, Salmoniformes, Salmonidae.